CCAUAGCGUAUAUUAAAGUUGUUGCAGUUAAAAAGCUCGUAGUUGGAUUUCUGGUAGGAGCGACCGUGCCGAACUUGAUUGUUCGAGUAUUGUGUUGUCUUCAGCCAUCCUCGUGGAGAACUUUUCUAACAUUAACUUGUUGGGAUUGGGACCCGCGUCGUUUACUGUGAAAAAAUUAGAGUGUUUAAAGCAGGCAUUAGCUUGAAUACAUUAGCAUGGAAUAAUAAGAUAGGACUUUGGUACUAUUUUGUUGGUUUGCAUACCAAAUUAAUGAUCAACAGGAACAGUUUGAGGAUAUUCGUAUGAACAUGUCAGAGGUGAAAUUCUUGGAUUUUGAUCAGACGAACUACUGCGAAAGCAUUUAUCAAGGAUGUUUUCAUUAA
RNAcentral lists this ribosomal RNA (383 nucleotides) under uncultured eukaryote. RNAcentral describes it as "partial 18S ribosomal RNA". It matches the Rfam family "Eukaryotic small subunit ribosomal RNA", at positions 592 to 976 of the family's 1831-position model. The record is from RNAcentral.